GCACGGCAAGAAAUAUUCAACAAGGACACAAAGAACUAUCUCAUAACAGGAAAAUAAGAAGGUAAACAAUUAGAGUCAAUAGCCUUCUAAUGAUCAAACAUGGUUUUUAUUCAAAUUACAACUUGAACAUCAAAUUCCAGAUACAAUUCCAGUCUAGUUACAGCUUGUAGCACUUCACCUAUUAGCAAAUGGUAUGGGGAAAUACCUGAAUGUAAGGAAAGUACAACAAAGUAGUCACAUACCAGCAACAACAAAUUUGAAAUAACAUCCAGAAAUUAGAGCCGGAAUUGCUUUUGAAAAACCAAGAACUUUAUGUUUGAAACCCAAUCUUCAAGCUCAGUUGAAGAUCAACAAUAUAAGGAUCUCCAUAUUUUUAUCAAAACCAAAUUCAACUCAUUGUUUAACCUUGAGAUUUAGAGAAGAAUUUCAGAAAUGGACAGUAUUCUCAGCUAUUUUUUGUGUAUUUUUUCAGGAACAUUUUUGUUUUAUCCUCUAAAAUUAUCUCUCGGAACUUUUUCUCAAAAUUUCUAGCUUCUAAACUUUUAAUUUUAAAUUUCAGAUCUCUCGUCUUCUAAAACUUGUUUUGCAAGGCAGGGGUACUGCCUUUUAUUGGCAAAUACUAGGGCAUUUUCAGAUUUUUCCUUUGCACUUUAGCCACCCUCUUUUGUUUUCAGUUUUUAGUUUAAAAGUCCUUAAGGGACUGACUUGCUACCUAAGUCAUAUUACUAAGUUUCUAAAAUUCUAAUUGGAACCCAAUCUAGAAGGUUCUAAGGGUUUCCAUUUUCAAUUAUUGCACUAUUCUUUAGUUAGAAUUACCCAAUAUACCCUCAAGACCCCUGAAUUUUACCUAAGUCUACCAACUAGGUAUCUGGGCCAAGUGACACAAUUCAAAUGGCGUACUAAUUUAAGGGAUGAGUUCACCAAGGCCCAAACCCCCUAAUUUGCAAAACCAAUCAGCAUAUCUUAACAAAAACCAAGAGAACUGAAUUAAACUAAGGAGAAAUGUCUAAGCUGAACUAAUUCUAAAUAAUAUGGAUCCUAAAACUAAUUUUAUUAUUAAACUAGUAAGAACAAUAAAUGACCAAUUAAACCAAACAGUACAAUAUUAAACGAAAACAAAUAAAUCAUGCAAAAAAGAGUAAAAUCAAACAAACAAAAAGCAAAUGACAAGAACAAGAUUAAACUAUGCGAUUACAAUCUAAAAAAGAUCAGAACCCUAUGACUAUGAGGCAAAUCAGGCACAAAAAUAAAAAUAAAAUAACAAAGGAGGCACCAGGCAAGAACAGAAGCAAAAUAUUAAACGGAAACAAAUAAAUCAUGCAAAACGGUAGAAUCAAAACAAACAAAAAGCAAAUGACAAGAACAGGAAUAAACUAUGGAUUAGGGAAGAGGGGGCGUUGGAGGUGGCGUGGUGUCAUUUUUGCAGUGUUUUGUGGCAGCACCACUGGACACGAAGACGGCGGCGGCUGGGGUUUUGAAUAUUCGAAAAGCUUGGGUAGGAUUUGAAGGAAAACACGUUCAUAUCCGUAAUGAGGAGCCGGAGACGAGGAUGUGGUGUAAGUUUGGCGGCUAUUAGACAAUUGCUGCCGGUAGAGGCGAAUUCCGGCUGGCGGCAAACGAUGGCAGGCGGCGAAACUAGGGUUUCUAUAUUUGAGAGCGACGGAGCAUGAGGGGUGGGGGUAGGGGGCGUUAGGACAAUUAUAUAUAUAGAGCUUCAGUUCUCAACCGAUGGAUCCAUCAACCUCGACGGUUGAGAUCAACUGAGGGGCAGAAACGACGCCGUGUGGGGAAAUUAAAGGGUUGGACCGGGUUUGAGGUGUCUUAGGCAAGGUAUGGGGCAAAUGGUCGGGUAUUUUGAUAGAUUUUGGUUUGGGUUGGCCCAAAAAUUGGGUAGUUUUAUAAAGACUCUUAUUUCUUUUAACUUUCUCUUCAUUUUCUCUUCUUUUUUUUUCAAAAGUUAUUAAAAGUCCUUAAUUAAUUACAAAUCUCAAUUUUACCUAUAAAAUGCAAACCGAUCCUAUAUAAUUGUUAUCAAAAAAAAAUUAAAAUAAAAAAAGUACCUAAAAAUUCAAAAAUUAAAACUAAAAGAGCAAAUCGAACCUAUUUUUGGUUUUUCCUUUUUAUUAAAUGGCUAAUUGCUAAUUAAUGCUAGAAAAAUGUCAAAUCUACUUCAAAAUGCGCAUGCGACAUAUUUUAAUACUUUUUAAUAAUUAUCUAAAUAAAAAUACAAACAAAUAUACAAACAAACACGAAAACUACGCAAUUAUUCCUACGAAAUCAAAUAAUAAAAAGAAAAAUUCUAAAUCUAAGAAUUUUGUAGGAAUAAUUUACGCGGGAAAAAAAUUACAUGCUCACACAAAUAUUGAAGCCUUCACGUGAUUUGGUCAGAGAGAAACGUUUGAGAUCGAAUCAAAUAUGAACAAUCCUCAAGUCUCAGAAAAUCAAAAUGCUAACAGUCUUUUGACCUCUUGUAUUGUCUAAGCAGACGAGAGAGAAGGAGGAGAAGGAGUCAUAGGAUUCAAAGAAUGACAGAAAAAUUACUUGAAAUCGGCAAGGCAAGCUUCUACCAUGGUUGAGAAGAAGUUGGAUUUACACUAAGAAGGGAAAGAGGUGAUGGCAACGUAUGAGAUAAGAGAGUGGGAACCCUAGUUAUUUUAGGUUCUUGGGUAACAUAUGAGUUUUGGGCUGCUAUGUGGGCUUGAUUUGAAGUGACUGAAAAUAGCAAGAUUUGGGCUGUUGAAAUUCAAAAAUGACUAUCCCAAAUAUGCCAAAAUUAUUGGGCUUUUUUGGACUUGAUUUGGAUUCCUC
This 2808-nucleotide long non-coding RNA is filed under the name Nicotiana benthamiana. RNAcentral's name for it is "long non-coding RNA (NBEN_LNC016425)". The record is from RNAcentral. Lineage: Eukaryota; Viridiplantae; Streptophyta; Magnoliopsida; Solanales; Solanaceae.